RNAcentral lists this long non-coding RNA (1091 nucleotides) under Ursus maritimus (polar bear). RNAcentral describes it as "lncRNA (ENSUMAG00000019259.1)". The record is from RNAcentral. Lineage: Eukaryota; Metazoa; Chordata; Mammalia; Carnivora; Ursidae.
CACACACACACACACACACACACACGUGCACACACAUGUACAUGCACACACACACCCUGGGGAAGUUGCCUGAUUGUUGCCAAGUAGUGAAUGGUCUUAAGGCCAUUGUUGGUGGGAAGUGGGAUGAUAAACAUCUCUGCUGAGACUUAUACAGAACCUCAUUUGCUUGGAGGAAUUUUAGGUAAGACAAAAACAAGGUAGUUAUGGAGGGCUGGGGAGAACAGAACAAACCACUCAAUAGGGUGGUCAUGGGGAGGAGCUUGGAGGAAACACCCUCUCUCUGCCAUAUGAUCCACCACAAAUGAACCAAGGGAGAUAAGGAAAAGUGAAAGGUCACUUUGGGAAGACUCUUUAGGCGGAGGUGAGGUAACUCCCCCUUAAUCCAACAAGAUAAUUUGGAACUCGCUCACAUUUUACUCCCCUCUCCCUUCCCCCAGAUGGAGUGGGAUGGUGCAUUGUGAUGUCACUCUGAGUCUCCCCAAGGCUACCACUAGCUGGGAGGAGUUUCUUGCUGACUAAAGAAAGCUGAAGGGUAUACCUCUUCAUUGUCCUAGGGAGAGUAUAUAUAGGGAGAUCAGGAGAACUGUUGGUCAAGCUACUGUUGACUUAGACAUGGCAGAGGUGAAUGGGAAACCACAAGAGCCCAGCACAGACUCAGAACCACCAAUCACAAGCAUUAACCAACCAACUACAAGCAAUAGACAGAGGAUGAAUCUGAAGAACUGCUGUCAACCCAACAUCAAAGACACUGAAAAGUUGAAGCAGAUCGUCAAGAGGAUAAAAUUAGCUCUUCAACAGAGUUCAGGAAAUCCAAAGAAAACAAAAAUGCUGAACAUAGGAGCCUGUUACCACAGGGCACAUAAAAAGAAGAAUCUAAAUAAGGCGGUCCAAGAGCAAAAGAACCUGGACAACUCUGCCUCUGCGAGUAAUGCCUCAUGCAUAGUAGAGCCCAAUGAACUACAAGUUUUCUCAGCAUCCCCAGUGGAAGUUCUAAAAAAACGUUCAACCCGUAAAGACUAAACCUCCCACCAAAAGGUACACGAAUGGUGACAAUUAAUAAAAGCAACAUGUUUCGAAAAUGAUGUGUGUAU